RNAcentral lists this transfer RNA (77 nucleotides) under Bacillota bacterium. RNAcentral's name for it is "tRNA-Arg". It matches the Rfam family "tRNA". Rfam says of the family: Transfer RNA (tRNA) molecules are approximately 80 nucleotides in length. Their secondary structure includes four short double-helical elements and three loops (D, anti-codon, and T loops). Further hydrogen bonds mediate the characteristic L-shaped molecular structure. tRNAs have two regions of fundamental functional importance: the anti-codon, which is responsible for specific mRNA codon recognition, and the 3' end, to which the tRNAs corresponding amino acid is attached (by aminoacyl-tRNA synthetases). tRNAs cope with the degeneracy of the genetic code in two manners: having more than one tRNA (with a specific anti-codon) for a particular amino acid; and 'wobble' base-pairing, i.e. permitting non-standard base-pairing at the 3rd anti-codon position. The record is from RNAcentral. Lineage: Bacteria; Bacillati; Bacillota.
GCGCCCGUAGCUCAGGUGGAUAGAGCAGCGGUUUCCUAAACCGCGUGUCGGGGGUUCGAGUCCCUCCGGGCGCGCCA